This 746-nucleotide long non-coding RNA is filed under the name Olea europaea subsp. europaea. The record is from RNAcentral. Lineage: Eukaryota; Viridiplantae; Streptophyta; Magnoliopsida; Lamiales; Oleaceae.
CAAAAUCUUAUUCUGCACACCCACAUGAAAUAUUGAGUCAUAAAGAUGUUAAAUAUUAUAUUUCAUGAAUUUUAUAUAUCAAUUUUAUUUUUUUAAACAGAGGGAUCCGCUUACAAAAGAGUUACUGGGUCAUAUCAAAUUUUUCUAUGAGAUGAAUUGCAGCAAUGAACGUGGGUGGACAACUAAAGAAGCGGAGUCCCAUUAUGUAAGUAGUACUUGUUAUAAUUGUAUAAUGAAUAUUUCAAAAAUAUAAUAUUUUAUUUAUAAUUUACAUGGAUCCACAGAAUCAAAUGGUCAACCUUUUACAAGAAGAAAAUUCUCAACUAGAUUCGAAUGAACACCUAUGCCUUUAAAAGAAUCUGAAAUAUGUGAGUAAGUUUUGGGCAAGAGAUUUUGCCACGUUGAUCAAUAGAAAAAUUCAAAGAAGAAAAGGUUGCAAAAUUGUGGUAUUUGUGCAGAGAAUGCUGCUUUACAAAAUGAGUUUGAAGAUCUUUGCUCUCAAUUGAAAUCUCUGCAGACAUUUUUUAAGUCGCAUUCUUGAAGAGUCUCUUCGGUCUAUUCAAUCUGAUGUGUCUUCGUCCAAUGUUUUAAAUGGUGAUAAUUAAUAUGUUUUUUACUUUAUUUUUGGUGAUGUAGUAAUAGUUAUAUAUUUUUAUUUGAUUGAGGCAAUAGUUUCUAACUUUACAUCUACUAGUUUUUAAUGUUGAGAACACUAAUGAUUGAACAGACUGUAUUUUUUUGUCUAG